CUACGGAGGGUGCAAGCGUUAUUCGGAAUCACUGGGCGUAAAGGGUGCGUAGGCGGUUUGAUAAGUCUGAUGUGAAAUCCUAUGGCUCAACCAUAGAACUGCAUUGGAAACUGUCAGACUAGAAUACUGAAGGGGCAGAUGGAAUUAGUGGUGUAGGGGUAAAAUCCGUAGAUCUCACUAGGAAUACCGAAAGCGAAAGCGAUCUGCUGGGAAGUUAUUGACGCUGAGGCACGAAAGCGUGGGGAGCAAACGGGAUUAGAAACCCUAGUAGUCC
This 274-nucleotide ribosomal RNA is filed under the name uncultured bacterium. Its description in RNAcentral is "partial 16S ribosomal RNA". It matches the Rfam family "Bacterial small subunit ribosomal RNA", at positions 523 to 796 of the family's 1533-position model. The record is from RNAcentral.